This 254-nucleotide ribosomal RNA is filed under the name uncultured bacterium. RNAcentral describes it as "partial 16S ribosomal RNA". It matches the Rfam family "Bacterial small subunit ribosomal RNA", at positions 524 to 776 of the family's 1533-position model. The record is from RNAcentral.
UACGUAGGGUGCGAGCGUUGUCCGGAAUUAUUGGGCGUAAAGAGCUUGUAGGUGGCUCGUCGCGUCGGGAGUGAAAACCCGCGGCUUAACCGCGGGCCUGCUUUCGAUACGGGCGGGCUAGAGUUCGGCAGGGGGAGACUGGAAUUCCUGGUGUAGCGGUGGAAUGCGCAGAUAUCAGGAGGAACACCGGUGGCGAAGGCGGGUCUCUGGGCCGAUACUGACACUGAGAAGCGAAAGCGUGGGGAGCGAACAGG